Molecule: long non-coding RNA, 10267 nt
Organism: Chelonia mydas (Green sea turtle)
Lineage: Eukaryota; Metazoa; Chordata; Testudines; Cheloniidae
Exons: 3
Source: RefSeq, a predicted model, not a curated record
GUCUCAGCUUGCAAGAGCUCAGUUCCCUUGUAUCUGUCUAAUGAUGGAUGGCAAAGAUGGCUUCUGUCUUCCAAAGCUCAAUGACCUUGUUUCAAGAGGCAGGAUGACCUCUUGCUGAUUUUGCCAUCCCCCUGUAUGUGACUACAUCCCCCAGGUAGGGGAAUACAGAUAGGGAACACAUCUUGAAGAACCCCCAGUUAUGGGUAGAUACCCUCUCCUCCUUCAAGUGCUGGUCCCUGUGGUGUAUUCCACAUGUGGGUGACUGGUAAGCAGUAGUCAAAUUGGAGCAGGCAUGAAGAUGCAGUUGGUAUGUUGGGUAUGAGGAUGCAGUCUGUAAUACUGCUGUCCCAACGCUGCAUCGGCAGAAGAGGUCUGGACUAAUGCUUCAUGAAAGUAUGGCUGGAACUGCAGGUUGUUGCCUUACAAAUGUCCAGUAUAGGUACUUCCUGAAGAGAUGCUAUUGAAGUUGCCUGUGCUCUAGUGGAGUGAGCCCUCAACCUGUCAUGGGGGAGGAAAACAUGCCAACUGAUGAAGAGUGAUACAUCCAGAGAUCCACUUAAAGAGUCUCUGAGCAGACAAAACUAGUCCCCAUGAACACUGCUGUAGAGACAAAUAGUUUAGGCCUUUUCUUAAUUGGUUUUGUUCUAGAGCCUAUCAGAUGUCGAGGGAAUGAAGUCUUCUCAUGCUUCCAACGAGGAGAGAGAGGUUUUGGGAAGAAUACUGAUACUACUUUGGUUGUGUGAAAGCUGCUUUAUGAUUGAGUAAUAUUAACUAUACACAGUAGUGAAAGAUACAGAUUACUAUUGGCUGUUACUGAUGCUUCAAACCUGUCAAAAAGAUACAAGCUUGUUUGAGAGCCAGGUCCAUCAAUGGAGACAUCCCAUUCCUCUACUGACUGGGGCAAGCGUGUGUUUUGUCAGGAUAACACAGCUACAGAGUUGAUUAAUCCAGCAGAAUCAAAAAGAGAGCAUGUUGGAUCUGGCCAUCAAACUCUAGCAGAAAAUAUCAGAUGUUUCCAUAAGAUGAAUGCACUUCCCAUAUCCACAGACAGAUGAUGAGAUAAUGGUGAUGGUACUGAGAAGACUUUGAACAAGAACAAUGGAUGUUGGCACAAAUCCUGCUCUGUCAAGUUUUAAAAAAAGCUGAAAAACCUGUGGAUCACCCUGACGAACUAUAGAGGAAAUACACAUGUCUAGGUGACCAAAACAAAGGACCUCCAGAAAAAGAAGGGUGCUUUAUUUGUGAAGUGAACAUACUAUCAGAAGACCUCCAUGAAGCUUCUACUCUCAGCAUUGAGAGUUGAGUCCACAACUGUGCACCUGAGCUGUAAGACCAGUGUUUGCUUGCAAAACUAAGUGCAGGGGACUUAGUGGCCCAAGAGACAAGGUAUCAUGCAAGAUGUUUGGUCUCUCUCUACAACAAAAUAAGGGGAAAGAAAUCUGAGCAAAGCAACACAGAGAAGAUAUCACAUGGGAGUGCCUCUUCUGAACUGACAUAGAUUGAAGAGACAAGACUGAAUGAAAACGUGGGUCCAGUGUUUAAACUAGCUGUCCUCGCGAUGCUCUAUACAGCUAGAUCAGAACAGCUGCCUGUGCGCAUUCACAACACAGUGAAAUAAAAUCCCAUAUCCUUUCACACAUUCCAGCUCUCCAAGCACACAAAGAAGGAUCUGAUGUGCUCCUUGCCUUCAACCAGGGCCUUAAACAUGCCCUCUGAAGUGCAUGUGAGGAAAACUGUGAUGAAGCAGCAUUUCACCUGCCCCAAACAGUAAAAAUUAUUCAAAGGGACCUGUUUUAAAUAAAAACACAGUCUACUUGUAUCAUUUGACCCAGGAUGCCAAGCAAAAUCUGUGCUUGAGUCCCUACUGGCACUGAUGUCCAUAAUAUUGUGCGGUUCAAACAUUAAAACUCAGUCAGAACAAGUUUCCAUUCAUCCAGCUAUCCUUAUUUUGGCACAGCUGCUGCAGUAGAACAGCAAUAUCCAUUGCCGUGAAGGAACAGAAAGUUUGUACCACAACAAAGCUCGAGAAAUGCCUUUUCCAGUCUACACUGGUUUGACAAAUCAUGCACUAACAUGAAAAAGUGAGCUAGUAGAUAGUUCCUUUAAACUUGGAUUGUCCACUAUCUCCUAUGACAGUGUGUUUGCCUCUCUACCAGCAUGGCAAACAAUGCGUGCCAACACUCUGAGGACAAGAAUGUAGUCUGUCUGCUCAAGCUCCAUGGUGGUCUGUUCACUGUUGUGGCCAUAGACAGCAUAGACCACAAUCCUAGUUCCACCACAGCAACAGACUCCUCCCAGGGAACUGGGACAUCACGUUUUCAGCAUCCCAGUACUGAAGUGGAGGGAGCAGUCCAUAGACUUCCCACCCUGGACUGUGAGACUGCAGCAUCAGUGAAGAAGUCUGUAUCAUCACUUCCUGAGUCUUAUAGAAUUGUCCUUCCAUUGAUUUUGAAGAAAAUCAAUGCUGCCAUCCCUGAUGCAAAUGUUGAAAUGAAAACAGACUGCCAAUUGAUUACGCAAGCCCUGCAAGAAGAAUGCAGGUGGCUUGAACAAGUAAGGCAAGCAGCAAGUCUGGAUACCUUCAAUGGAGAUCAAGACAUUUCCUGGGCAGCUUACCAUCCCAGACUUCGUCCCAUCCAUCACUGUGCUUCUUCCCCUCUUUCCAGAUGACUCCAAGUCUGUGCCAUGGAUGUGAUAAGGAAUGCUGUGCACCACCUAAACCCAUACCAAGUGCCGUGAUCACUGUGGAUCAACUCCUUUUCAGCAUAAUCAAACGGAUACAGUUGACCUGGUCCGCUGGAAAUGGAAAGGACAAAUUUGUCAUUAUGUUGUGUGGUCUUCAUCUGGAAAUGGCAAGUCUAAAGCUGACUGAGAUUGGCUAGAAGACAGUGGAUGGACAGAAGCCCUUGUUCAGGCCAAAGUGGCUUCCCCAGGAACAGCUGACUCCUUCCUGAAAGUGUCUCAUCUCACAUGUGCUAGGCGGCCCACCAGGGGUCAGUACAUCUUGCUCUAAAAUGCAUACACACAGUAUACCCAAGGUCUCAGGGAAGAUGAGGCCACAUGGGGUAAUAUAAAUGCUGUGGCAAGUGGAAACUAGAAAACCAAGCGUUCCACUUUUGACAUACCACACUUAAUCUGGAGCUUCUCGUCUUGACCUAUGUGCUGUCAAUCUGUGAAACUUUGCUUGAUACAUGGAAUGCUUUGGAAAGCUGUCACUCUGGUUCUUUGCAUUAGAUCAUACUAAUUAUGCUCAAUAGGUGCCUGUUCAUCCUCGAGCUACAGCAAGCCUUCAUACAGUGCAUCCAGACACAGCUAAAGAGUUCCUAAACAGAAAAUCCAGUUUGCAAGAACCAGCAUGUUUUCUCUGUAAUUGCACUUGACCAAGCUCAUGAGCAAAAUAAUGCUAUAAUCAAAGGGGAUGGUGGAGCUGUUGGUCUAACACAAUGUCCAGAGGCCCUUCGGCAGUGGAUGAUAGUGGGACCAGAGGUAGCCAGGGUGAUAGGAGAAUCUGAAGCCACAGCAGAGAAAGGAACCACCUGAAAAGGGUCUAACACCAAAGCACCGUGAGCAGAUGAUAGUGCCCAGGCUUCGUUUACACAACAUGUCAAGGCAUUUGUUGAGGUCAUAGAAGACAUGGGCAACCUCUUCUCAGAGGAGAGUGUAGACUUAAUUAAACUGGACACUGAAGACAUUGCAGACCCUUCUGUGAUUGUCUCUGCUAGGGAGUUUGAGGAGCUCAAGCAGUAGCAGUACACCUCAUUUAAAAGAGAGAUUGCAAGACAAAACCAAGUCAUUAACAGAGCCUAUGAAGCAAAAUAAACUCCCCUUGUUCAGCAGACCUCCUGAGCUCUCCCCUUGUUCAGCAGACCUCCUCAAAUUGGAGCUCUUCUUCUUGAAAAAUGGUGGGGAAUGCGAUGUUUCAGUAUACUGAAGACUGAAAGAUUUCCUUGUUUCUUAAUUGAUUUUAGGAUGCAUGUUUAUGUAAGCAGCCUUUUCAAUCUUUUUGAGAUGCAGAAAGAGGAGGUUACUCACCCUGUGCAGUAACUGACAUUCUUCAAGAUGAGUGUCACUGUGGGUGCUCCAUUUCAGGUCAAGGUAAGGAAGUAUGAGGAUUCCUUUUUCCCUGAGAUGUGUUAUUACAACUGCUAGCACCUUGGAGAAGACACGUUGUGCGGUGGAAAGGGAGGACCCUGUAUUGGUAGUGUUGCUCUCCCACAGCGAACCUGAGGAAACGUUGAUGGGCAGGGUGGAUAGAGACAUGGAAAUAUGCGUCUUGGAGGUUGAGAGUUGAAAACCAAUCUCCUUGCUCCAGCGUCGGAAUCAUCAUUGGGAGAGUAACCAUCUGGAAUUUCUGUUUCUUGACGAACUUGUUCAAACGUCGAAGAUCGAGGAUAGGGUGCCAACCGCCGCUUUUCUUUUCCAUCAAGAAGCAGUGAAGUAAAACCCUUUCCCUCUGUGUUGAGGAGGUACCUCCUCUUUUUUUCCCCGAGAUAUAGGAGAUGUUAUGCACCUCCUGACAGAGCAAUUGUCCGUGAGAGGGGUCCCUGAAGAGGGACGGGGUGGGAGGGUGGGAGGGAGGUAAGGAGAAAAAGCCUAACCCAAUCUGAUAAUUUCCAGGACCCAUCUGUCCGUAAUGAUGGUUUGCCAGUUGGCCAGGAAUGGACGCAAACGGUGUCCAAAAAAAAAAGCUUGGUUGGAGCUGGCACUGGAGAGGGUGCGAGGUUUUCUAUACCCUCGACAAAGACUUCAAAUUUGUUUAUUUGGGUUAGUAGGGUGGGUCGCCGUUGUUUGUGGAGGGUGACAUUGUUGGUUCCUGGGCCUAUGUCAUUGUUGCAUAUCAUAUUGUCUGAAAGGUGGAUGUUGCACAAAGGUAUGGUAACAUGGUCGUUGGUAUGGCUGAUAUCUGUAUUGUCUCUUCUUUGAGGCAGGUGUUUGGAUGCCUAAGGAUCAGAGAGUGGCAUGGGAAUCCUUCAUGGAGUGAAGGACCUCACUGGUUGUAGCAGCAAAGAGCUUGUCUCCAUUGAAAGGGAGAUCUUCAACCUUAUUCUGUAUCUUCUUCAGAAAGGAGGAAGAAGCAAGCCAUGAGGACUGCCGCAUGACAACGGCCGUGGCUGUGGAUCUGGCCGCUGUGUCCGCAGCAUCGAGGGCGGCUUGAAGAGUCAUGUGGUAGAUCAAUUGGCCCUCAGACACCACUGCUUUAAAUUGUUGUAAUUUAUCCUCUGACACAUCAUCAAUAAAUUGCAUUACCUUAGCAUAAUUUUUGUGGUCAUAUUUUGCUAAGAGCGCCACAUAGUUCGCUACUCUAAAUUGCAAAGUGGAAGAAGAAUACACUUUGUGGCCAGAGGAGUCCAGUCUCUUGUUAUCUUUGUCUGAUGGAGUGGAGCAGAAGUGUUAGUAUUUGUUUUUCUGAUUGGCCGCAUCGACCACUGGCGAAUUAGGUGAGGGGUGCGUAAAUAGAAACUCAGAACCUUUAGAAGGAACAAAAUAUUUUCAGUGGGUGUUGUUAUAGCUGAGGUCUGCCAAAUAGUUUUAGCAGGUUCCAUAAUGUCCCCAUUAAUUGGUAGAGCUAUUUUGAAGGCGGUCGUAGCUUGCAGGAUGUUGGUAAGCUGAUGGUGUGUUUCAGGGACCUCCUCCCAGGUAAUCUUGAGCUCUUCUGCUACUCUGUGAAACAACUCUUGAAAGUGAGCGAGUUCAUCAGUAGCGGGAGGUGGUGGGGGUACCAUGGCAUCUUGUGGUGUUAUCACUAUAGAAGAGGUUUGUGGGCAGUGUCCUCUGUAGGGGUGGUGGCCACUUCAGGUCUUAUCUGGGUUUCAGUGUAAGCAGGCAGUGGGGAGGGUCUGACAGCUUUCCUCAGGGCAGCCCGCGGAAGACCUGAGUGUGGUGCAGUGUAGGUCCAUGGGCCCCAGUGUGGCCAUUGCCCUGGAGGAGAGGGGGGGGAACAGGUAGUCCCAUCCAGAGAUUGCCAUACUAGUGUGAAUAGCCUUGAGGAUAUGGAGAGCGUGCUGUAAUGCGUCUCCUGGUUGUAGGUAACUGACUCUGGGAGAGUAUUGAGAGAAAAACAACUGGUCAUCAUAUUCCUCUUCCUCCACCCACACUUCAUUGGAGGGGUUUGAAGUGGUAGGAGAGUACUGAAGGUAGGGUGCUAAAGGUCUCAGUGAGAGGCUGGUGCUGAGAAGAGGAGAGUCAGGAGCAUGGGACACCCCUAAAUCCUCUGGCUGUAAAAGCUGCGGUGGAACCGAGUGACCAGGAGUCGGUGCCGGUGUAGCUGGUGGAGGCAGAGUCUCCUGGGGCGUCUGCUGGUGCACCAAAGGGUGUCCCGGGGGCACAGGCUGGCUCCGCAGAGUAGGAGCCCCUGAGGUAGCCACUGCAAGGGAGGCUGCAGACGUCAGGAGGUUCAGUGCUGAGAGCGGCGGCUGUAAAAGCGGCACUGGAAGAUCAAAGGACGGUGCCGCAGCCACCGCUUGUGCUGUCGGCACCGUAACAGCUCUCAGCACUGCACUAGCAAAGGUGGCCGUAGGAGAGCUGAAAGAGGCGGGCAACUGGAAGCCCUGAGCCUUGGCACCAUGUAGUGGGGCAGCCAACUCACGGUCGAUGCCCGAGGUAUCUGCCGUGUGGAAGGUGCUGAGCCGCGGAGCCGCAGUCAGCAGAGACCGGAGAGCCAGUUUUAAUUUCUUCCCCAAGGAACGACUCCUGAGGGGAGAGGAAGCUGGCCAAUUUUUUUGCUUUUCCUUUGCCUCUGGAGGGUGUCACAGAGGUUUGCUGGCCAGGGUCAGAGGCAGGUCUGAGGGAGUUUUCCUGCAGCAGCAUUUUAAGCCUGAGCUCGCUGUCCUUGCGGGUUCACGCUUUCAAUUUGUUACUGUGGACGCAUUUUGGGGGUACAUGAGACUCCCCCAAACAGCGUAUGCACUGUGAAUGCCCGUCUGAGAUGGGGAUGGCAUCCUUACAGGAGGCGCAUCUCUCGAAGUCUGGGGAGCCAGGCAUCUCCGAAUCCGCGGAGGGGUUUUUUGGGUUUUUUUUUAAGAAAUAAAAGUAACAGCUAAUGUAACUUAUCUAAGUAUUAAUUCUAAUGACUGAAACUAUCUAACUAAACUGAGAAACAAACUACCUAGCUAGUCUCAAAGAGCACUGCUGAACUCCGUCUCUAGCCGGGGAGGGUAGCGAAGGAACUGAGGAGCCCGGGCUGUGCACGCGCUAUUAGAACACUGACAGCUCGAGAGGCAGGCACAGCGCGUGUGCAGCCCGUAGGCUACUGCUGUAGAAAUCUCCGAUCGAAGGUGCUGGGACGCACCUUGACUUGAAGUGGAGCACCCACAGGGACAUCUCUCGAAGAAGAAUAUCCUGUUAAGCACAGACAGAUCUGAAAUAUGGUUAUUAGCAAAAAGAAAUGUAACUUUCUGUUCAUGAACAGAAACUUGUAAACUUAUUGUUAUAUUUCUAUGUAAUUAAUAUUUUUUGUAAAUACUCCUUGGUGGCACGCUACAGAGCAUGUUAAUUCUAAAUAUUUUUGUAUAAUCUCAAGCCAUCACAUUUCAUUGCUUUAUUUUUAGGACACCUAGGACAAUAGGAAUAGAAAAAUAUAAAAUAAAAUACAAAAAAAACCCAGUGGGAUGUUUUAAUACCAUAAACAAUCAGUAUCUGAAAAACAUUAGAAAAAAUGAAUUCAGAAUUUAAAAUGGCUGCCACGGCCAGCAUGGGAUGAGUUGGCGAUGGCCUCAUAUUUGAAAAUCUUUAUAGGGCAUGCCUUAUGACUCUGGGAAAUUUCAUGCUUUUAUCAUAAAAUCCACAAUUCUUUCACAAAUCUGAUCAGCUGUAUGUGAGGUAAAAGAGUAAAAUGAAGGACUAAUUUAUUAGACAAAGAAAAAAAUCCCUCUCCCUAAAAACCCAUAAAAUUGAGCUCAUUAUAAACCUAUUGGGGUAGUUGCUGGGAUUUAGCCAGUCUGUACAGAAUGCAGGGUAGCGAGUAUGUGGAAAACUGGCCUAAAACUUACCUUUGCACAUCUCUGUUGUGAUGACUGUGUGCAGACGCAGUCCUUUUUGUAUUCUUGUUCCUUAUCUAAACACAUUAGUAGGGUAUGUAUCUUGGGGCAUAUUGUGCCAAUUUUUAGGCGAAGAUUCCCCUUUGACUUCACUGAGAGUUCAUUUUAAGAUUCCCCAUUGACUUCACUGAGAGUUCAUUUUAAGAACUGAUGGUGCGAUAAAGCUUUGGUUUCUGAGAACCUGCAGUCUCUUCCACUCUUAAAUUGUACUUGGGAGUUUUGUAACUUUUAUUUGUAGAGUUGGUCAAAAUUUUUCUCAAAAAAAGAAUUUUUUGUGAAAAAUGGCCUAUUUUAGGAAACUAAACUUUUUGUGAGAACUUACUGGCAUUAUCCAUUUUUUUUUUUUGCUUUUUGAAAAAAUAUUCCCUGGCAUUUUUAAUCCACAUAUUAUUAGCAAUGUUAUUGAAAUGUUUAUAAAAAUCAUUUUAGAAAUCAUUAUUGAAAUGACUAGUUAACUGAAAACUCUGUUUCCAGUAAGAAAAUGUGAUGAUCAGGAAAUGAAAAAUUUAGAUUUUAAUAAAAAUUAAUAAUAUUUUGAUUAAAAACUCACAAAAAACACCAUGAAAAAUGGUUCCAUUUCAAACUCUGUGAAACAAAAACAACUUUGAAAUUUCAGGGUUUUUUGUUGUUUUUCGUUUUGCUUUUGUGGAUGUUUUUUCCUCUUCCCAGUUAUUUUGUCUAGUUAUUUAUUGACUUUAAAUUACUUUCACAUGAAAUGAAUAAUACAGGGCAUUUCUCUGGCUACACAAGGGAGACUGAGUGUUUUCCCUCCAAACACUCCCAUAUUUUUGUACAAAUACAAAGAGUAUAUAUAGUAGCCUGGCCUACAGCAGCAGAGCCUGGAACAGUCUGCCUCAGAAAUCCAUGGCCACACAAACAGGUUACUCAAUUCUAGUGCUGUAACUCCCCCCAAAGACUACGCAGUCCUUGUGUGUGUAUUUGUGAGCCGGGAGGUAGCAGGGGAUAACAGAGGGUAUGUCUACACUACAAUUAAAGACCUGUGGCUGGCCUGUGCCUGCUGAUUCAGGCUCCCAUAGCUUGGGCUAAGUCUGUGUUUAAUUGAGGUAUAGACGUUUGGACUGAGGCUGGACCCUGGACUCUAGAACCCUGCGAGGUAGGAGGGUCCUAGAGCUUGGGCUGCAGCCCAAGCCCUAAUGUCUACACCACAAUUAAACAGCCCCUUAGCCUGAGCCCUGGGAACCUGAAUCAGCUGGCACAGGCCAGCCAUGGGUGUUUAACUGCUGCAUAGACAUACCCUGAAGGGCUGCAGAUGGGCUUGGGAAUCAGGAGUUGUUGAGCAGGAGAGACAGGGAGUUUCUUUGCAUGGACUUUCCUAACCUCAGGCUGCUACCUACCAUGACAGGCUAAGCUCCUAGAGACCAGCUCAGCCUGCUGUGUGCAGCCAGCACCCUCAGCCUACCAGGCUUUGAAUCCAGGCAUUCCGUGCUGGAUUCUGUCUUUCCUACUUCAGUAGGCGCACGCUAGGACUGCAUCACCUCCUUCAGCACCUUACCUCUUUGUUGGCAUAAACAUCCACUGUUUAAUUUUAAACAGUGAAGACGACAUGUAUAUGUACAUACAAAAUAGACACAUACCAAACGGCAUAAGUAAAAAUAGGCAGUACUGUCUGUGUCAGGCAUUAUGCAAAUAGUAGAAUGUAGAACCCAUUACCUCAUUUUAUACCAUUGUUAUAGCAGCAGGUGUGCAACCAACAAAGCAAAUUGCUGUGGGCCAGAGAUGGAGAUAUGAGAAAGGGUAAACAUUCAGUGAAGGAAGAGAGUGAAUUACAGGGAUAAAGCCUAGUACUUUUAUACCAGAGCACUCGCUAGAGAAGAUUGUUAGUAAGAGGGGACACAAAUAGGAUUCAGUAACUUUUCUAAUAUUGUUAGAACAUGCAGAUCAGUUUUAAGACACCCUCUCAUGCCCCAAUUUAAUUGGUUAUUAUCUUAUAAUUAACGUGGCAGCCUGGAGUCUUUUAUUAGCUUGAUCAUUUUAGUAUAAGAGUUGAGCUGAGAAAACCAGUUACUUACUGAAUUUAUGCCUGUCAGUCAAACCAUUGUUGAGAGGCCUAAUACAUGAGAGGUUUUGUUCUGAUGGAAAAGGGAGGGAAAUCUAAUUAAAACCAACAUUACAGUUUGCUAGGAAUAACCUGGGUCAUACUAACAUAACAACAGGAUCAUCAGAACAUUUUCUUCACAAUGGCACAUCAUAUAGCAUUCUCCUGGUUCUAG